CUCCCCCUAUUUGCUAAAAAAAGCUAACCUCCUCCCCUUCCUCCACUAAAAAAGGAGCUAACCUCCUCUCCGUACCCACCUGCUCCUCACCUUCCUCUCAGUCUCCAUAAUCAUCUCCGCUCCACCCUCAGCACACCACCGUCUUGGUUGGUUUUCCAAUUAAACGUGGAUCAAGUUUCCCAUCCUGUUUAUCCUGGAGCAAGGAAAUUUUGGAUUUGAUUUCCAUGGUACCUGGUGGUGCCACCGGUGGCCAUGAUCUGGGGCGACGGCGAGGACAUCUUGAAAAGUGACCUAUCAAAGUUUGAGAUCCGGGCCAGAUUCGUGUCUGGUACGCCGUCCGCAACGUCGCCGUGAAGAUGGUGUGACAGUUGAAGCGCGGCCUUCGAGGUCUCGCUCCUCCUCCGCCACCAAAACAUCAUCACCAUACCUAUUGUAAUACUCCUCUUUUCUCAGUCCAACAUUUUCUCAGCCACCAUCUUCAUCGAUCAGAUCCACCAGAGUGGCCUGGCGAACGCGUCCAUGUUUCUCUGUUGGAUCCUCUGGUUCUUAGUUUAUUUAUUAUUUCAGUAUCUGCACUAGGAUUUUCGUCUAUGCUGUUGUGGAGCACGGAAGGCCCAAAAAUCCGCUUCUCCAUUCUAGGAGUUUCAGUUUUAGGGCAUGCCUCUUUAAUUUGUUUCGAUCAGUUCGCCAUGUGCAGGUUGUUGCUUCUAAGCUGACUGGUUUACAUAUAUGCGACCAUGGAUAUCUUUGUUAAUUCAUGAAGAAUAUCAGCAUCCUCUUUUUCUAACAAAUUGUUUCUUGUGAUGCAUUAGAUUUUUUUUAUUUCUUGUUGCUAUGCAGGUGAGUAAUCAAUCAGUAUUUUCAAGUGAAGUUGAUCAUCACAGAACCGUUCAAUUAGGUACCAAUAUUGUCUUAGAUUUAUCCUAGCUAGGACCAUGUCAUCAAAGAGCUUUCCAUCGCAUAUCAAUAGGUCAACACUAUUAACAUCACCUUAUUAGUGUUAUGGAUGCUCACUAAUUUCGCUGACACACUUUGUACUAAAGGAAUGAGCCCCACAUACACAUGUUAUCUUGUCCUCUAGGUUCUGUAUGUUUCCUGUGUCGUCCCAGUUCUCACCUAUUUGGUGUUCGUAUCAUCAGUAGGCAAUUACACCAAUACCAUCCAUCUGGUUACACUUCCAGCCCUCCACCAUGACAGGUUUUUUGUGUUAGAAUUUGGUUUAGGUGUCAACGUGCAGGUCAGGGACGAUAGCUCCUUGAUGGGCAGUAGCGGUGUUAGGUGCGGCUCCCUGAUCUGCGACAGUGGCUCGGCUGCUCUGUGCUGAAUAUCAUGCAAGAUGCAAUAGUUAGAAGUUGUACUGAUAUAUGGUGUACUUGCAGCUACUGAUUUAGUGCUGUUAACUGUUUCGCAAAGGAGGUAAAGUUCUGCAUGUACGGGUACUAGGCAAAUCAAAAUGAUUAACUUCCUGGAUCUUUUUUCUGCAAUUCCCAUCUCAUUUAGCAAUGUACUUGAAACUGAUUGCAGAGUAUUCUACUUUGCACCAAUUUUUUGGUUCAAACAACACUAAUUGUUACUGAAAAAAGCAGUUUGCAAAUUAGGAUAGUAAUCAUUUACAUGAAAUAUUGAACCAUGUCCCUUGACAAUGUUUGUUUAUUUCUUAAAUAUAUUUUCAGCAUACUAACAUCACUUUCUCAUUAUUUCAGACUAACUCAGAGUUCAUAUUCAGUAUACAAUAAAUUAGAAAAUGAGAUGAACAAUUUGGGCUUGCGACCGGUGUAUGAAUAAUGAUGUAUUGACGACUCACAACCAGUCUACAUUGUGUUUUGUUACAGAAACUGGAUAUAUAAUCUGCGUACAGAGCUACUAUGGUGCCCCUCGUUUAUAUUUUUACUCCUCUAUUAAACUGAUUUUUUUAUUGUAAUUUACUCACCUCAUUUUGUUGUUGUUGUGGAUUGCAAGAUAAGUUGACGAUUCGCGGCCAAGAUGUUGAUUGCAAGGUCAAGAAAGAGGCUACUACUAGAUAAUUAGAAUGUCAUUUCCAGGGCCAAUGUUUCAAACCUUGUUGUAGAUUGCAAGUUCUAAAAUUGGGUUACUACUAGAUAGUUUUACAUUUUUUAAUCUUUGGAUCACGAUCUUUGUAUGGCAACACAAUCGAUUUAAUAUAUGAGUCUUUCUGUUUAUUAUAUUGUGGCUCCUAUUCA
Long non-coding RNA from Triticum aestivum (bread wheat), 2201 nucleotides. RefSeq lists it as uncharacterized. Lineage: Eukaryota; Viridiplantae; Streptophyta; Magnoliopsida; Poales; Poaceae. The record is from RefSeq and is a predicted model, not a curated record. The transcript has 3 exons.